UAAGGAAUAUUGGACAAUGGCCGAAAGGCUGAUCCAGCCAUGCCGCGUGCAGGAUGACGGUGCUAUGCAUUGUAAACUGCUUUUGUUUGGGAAUAAACCCCUCUACGUGUAGAGGGCUGAAUGUACCAAAAGAAUAAGGGUCGGCUAACUUCGUGCCAGCAGCCGCGGUAAUACGAAGGACCCAAGCGUUAUCCGGAUUUAUUGGGUUUAAAGGGUGCGUAGGCGGAUCAUUAAGUCAGUGGUGAAAGCU
Molecule: ribosomal RNA, 250 nt
Filed under: uncultured bacterium
Lineage: Bacteria
Description: partial 16S ribosomal RNA
Rfam family: Bacterial small subunit ribosomal RNA
Source: RNAcentral